UACGAAGGGGGCGAGCGUUGUUCGGAUUUACUGGGCGUAAAGGGCGCGCAGGCGGCUUUGUUUGUCAGGCGUGAAAGCCCCGGGCUUAACCUGGGAACUGCGUUUGAUACGGCAGGGCUAGAGUUCGGGAGAGGAGAGUGGAAUUCCCAGUGUAGCGGUGAAAUGCGCAGAUAUCAGGAAGAACACCCGUGGCGAAGGCGGCUCUCUGGGACGGUACUGACGCUGAGACGCGAAAGCGUGGGGAGCGAACAGG
This 253-nucleotide ribosomal RNA is filed under the name uncultured bacterium. RNAcentral describes it as "partial 16S ribosomal RNA". It matches the Rfam family "Bacterial small subunit ribosomal RNA", at positions 524 to 776 of the family's 1533-position model. The record is from RNAcentral.